AGUGAACGCUGGCGGUAGGCCUAACACAUGCAAGUCGAACGGCAGCACAGUAAGAGCUUGCUCUUACGGGUGGCGAGUGGCGGACGGGUGAGGAAUACAUCGGAAUCUACUUUUUCGUGGGGGAUAACGUAGGGAAACUUACGCUAAUACCGCAUACGACCUACGGGUGAAAGCAGGGGAUCUUCGGACCUUGCGCGAUUGAAUGAGCCGAUGUCGGAUUAGCUAGUUGGCGGGGUGAAGGCCCACCAAGGCGCCGAUCCGUAGCUGGUCUGAGAGGAUGAUCAGCGACACUGGAACUGAGACACGGUCCAGACUCCUACGGGAGGCAGCAGUGGGGAAUAUUGGACAAUGGGCGCAAGCCUGAUCCAGCCAUACCGCGUGGGUGAAGAAGGCCUUCGGGUUGUAAAGACCUUUUGUUGGGAAAGAAAAGCAGCAGGUUAAUACCCCGCUGUUCUGACGGUACCCAAGGAAUAAGCACCGGCUAACUUCGUG
Molecule: ribosomal RNA, 492 nt
Filed under: uncultured bacterium
Lineage: Bacteria
Description: partial 16S ribosomal RNA
Rfam family: Bacterial small subunit ribosomal RNA
Source: RNAcentral